RNAcentral lists this ribosomal RNA (468 nucleotides) under uncultured bacterium. Its description in RNAcentral is "partial 16S ribosomal RNA". It matches the Rfam family "Bacterial small subunit ribosomal RNA", at positions 28 to 507 of the family's 1533-position model. The record is from RNAcentral.
GACGAACGCUGGCGGCGUGCUUAACACAUGCAAGUCGAACGGAAAGGCCCUGCUUUUGUGGGGUGCUCGAGUGGCGAACGGGUGAGUAACACGAGAGUAACCUGCCCUUGACUUUGGGAUAACUUCAGGAAACUGGGGCUAAUACCGGAUAGGAGCUCCUGCUGCAUGGUGGGGGUUGGAAAGUUUCGGCGGUUGGGGAUGGACUCGCGGCUUAUCAGCUUGUUGGUGGGGUAGUGGCUUACCAAGGCUUUGACGGGUAGCCGGCCUGAGAGGGUGAGCGGCCACAUUGGGACUGCGAUACGGCCCAGCCUCCUGCGGGAGGCAGCAGUGGGGAAUAUUGCACAAUGGGCGGACGCCUGAUGCGGCAACGCCGCGUGCGGGAUGACGGCCUUCGGGUUGUAAACCGCUUUCGCCUGUGACGAAGCGUGAGUGACGGUAAUGGGUAAAGAAGCACCGGCUAACUACGUG